RNAcentral lists this ribosomal RNA (3579 nucleotides) under Uvigerina phlegeri. Its description in RNAcentral is "SSU rRNA". It matches the Rfam family "Eukaryotic small subunit ribosomal RNA". The record is from RNAcentral. Lineage: Eukaryota; Foraminifera; Rotaliida; Uvigerinidae.
GCCAUGCAAGUGGCUACAUUAACCCGACAGUUUAAAUAAGUGUUCAAUGCUAUCACGCAUCUAUGCAAUGCAUACACGCAUAAUACACACACACACACACACACAAUUGUGCCGCUGCAUCGCACGAAUUUUUGUUUACGAUAGUAACAAAAUUUCAGCGUGAAUCACCAUACAUACGCACAUAGUGAAUCACAGCGAAAUUUUACAUUUCAACGUAUCACUUACRCAACUGCAGACAGCUGCUUAAUACAGUCACACUUGUCUUGACUUGGCACACCCACACACACACACACGAUUUCUCUGUAUCGCAUAUUCAUACAAGAAGACAAUUGCGCUACACCGUGACACUUUUUAUCUUUUUUAUGGAUAACUCAGGAGAAAGUUUGGCUAAUACGUACGAGUACACACACACACACACACACACACUCAUAUAUACACUACUCAGCACUCAAUGRUAAACCUUGAUUUACGUGUAUUCUUACGCGUCUAUCAGUUAUAAAGUUUAACCGCAACAUGAGAGGCAUUGAGCACGCACGUGUAAUGUGAAUWUAUUCACGUUACACAUCUACGCUGAGCAGACUUUGCGAAGUUCACUUUUGCGAAGCAUGUCAUACAAGCAUCUACAGCAUCAAGUCACAGGGUUGGCAAGUGUAUUUUUGAACCUUCAAGGCAGUCACGCAUACGGAAGAGUAGUUUCUGAUCCCAUAGAAGGAGCACCGUACAAUGAGAGACCGCUCUUAGUUCUAAGGAACGCAGCAGGCGCGUAAAUUGCCCAAUGCUAGUACCCUACAAUCAUACUAUAUUGCAAUUUACUAUUAUACGCAUUACGACACUAUAUAUCAUUUUACUCUGCCAUACACACACACACACACACACAUCCUUGUUCACACGCGUAAAGUAAAUUAAUAUCAUAUACCAGUAUAUUUUAUUUUACUGAGGCAGUGACAAGCUGUAACGGUUGAGUAUAAAAAUGACGAGUGUCUGGCAUUGCCGCUCUCUCGGGAGCUUGGCAAGUUGCCGACGCUUUGUGUGCUCAAUUGGAAUGCGGUGAGUUUAAGCAACUCAGAACCUUUUAACGGUGUUACGUAAAAAUUUCACUGUUGAUGUAUCUGAAUUUCAGGUGGAAGGCAAGUCUGGUGCNNNNNNCCGCGGUAAUACCAGCUCCACUGGCCUAUACAUCAUUGUUGCGGUUAAGAGGCUCGUAGUUGGAUUGAACUGCAAUAUGAAUUUAUAUCGCUAAUAAAUUCUAUAUUUCAGUACUUACGUAUAUUAUAUAAUAUAUAUAUGCACACAUAUAUUUUCUCUCGCGAGAGUCGAGAAUAUAUAAUAUAUAUAUUAUGCACAUAUGCGUUCGACGCUGUUAAUUACACAAAUAUACGCGUCUUGUAUAUUUCAGCGACAAAUUUUUUUCUGCGAUACGCAUACACACACACACACACACACUUAUACGUAACGCGCAUACGAGAAAUUUUUGUCGCUAGUAUUUAUUCGCAAUACACACACACUCAUAUUUCAACACUGUGAACAAAUCAGAGUGUAUCAAACAUGUCGUUUUGGAAUGUGCAUUGAAUGUCWUAUCAUGGGAUGUUGCACUUUCAUACCGGUUAAAGAUUUACGUCUUCGAUCGCGACACACGCACACAUGUUACGCAUAAACACACACACACGCUUCCGCGUAAUUUACAAGAUCGCUAAAUAUUUCUUUAACGGUUAAAAAUGUCGAUGGGGAUAGUUGGAGUCAACAGUACUGCUGGGCGAGAGGUGAAAUUCAUUGACCCUAGCAAGACUACCAAAAGCGAAAGCAGUUGGCUGGGCUAUACUCUUUUGUGAUUAUAUAUGUAUAUACACGCAUACCGUAUAUAUCACAUUUUUUUUUUUAUGCGACACACACACACACACUCGCGUAUAAAAAAAUACCUUUUUAUGCGACACACACACACACGCAUAAAAAAUAUAUACACACACGCGCAAUAUGUAAUAUAUCAAUACACUUUACAAUGAGGAACGAAGGUUGGGGGAUCAAAGAGGAUCAGAUACCCUUGUCGUCCCAUUAAUUACAUCAAACGAUGGGCUCUCAAUUGCAUUUAUUCACAAUAAAUUGCAAAUUUCCUCAGCCUACAAAAUUUAUUCGGCUUGAGCUCGUGAUUCUAUCACGCUCGCCUAUAGUAUUUUUUCGUAUGGUCUCGAUGGACGUUUCAUUUAUUUAUAUUUUUUGCGUGUAAGCAUUAUGUUAUUCUUUGAAACAUAAGAAUGCAUUGCGUGCACUUGAUUUUCGGAGCUUUGCGCUCAAUUCUGGUGAGAUGUAAGCACUAUGUUAUUCUGCCCGUAUCCGUAUGUGUUAACUCACAUUUCGCUGAUAUCCGUGUGCAGUAUUUAACAAUUUCGGUGUGAAGCACGCUUUAGGCACGCGCUUACUGCAGAAAUGUCUGAGACAUUCCCCUCCGGGGGUAGUAUGCACGCAAGUGUGAAACUUGAAGGAAUUGACGGAAGGGCACCACAAGAACGCGUGGAGCAUGUGGCUUAAUUUGACUCAACGCGGGAAAUCUUACCGGGUCCGGACACACUGAGGAUUGACAGGCAAUAUUAAUAUAUACUUUCUCUCUCGCACUCUCACGAGUGUGUGUGCUGUAAAGUCAUAUAUUAUGUUAAAUAUGCUAGUCCUUUCAUGAUUAUGUGAUAGGUGGUGCAUGGCCGUUCUUAGUUCGUGGAGUGAUCUGUCUGCCUAAUUGCGUUUCACUAAGGGCCUAUACAAUUACGUAUGUUGUUAUUGCACUUUGACCCCUCCUUCGCGGGUGCGUGUGUCUUUGACUGCUUCAACUCAUACAAUUAGGUCCUGAAAGCAACGAACGUGACCGCAACCUCUUGUUGCUUUCGUAUACCCUUAUAACACAGUUAUAUUUUUAUUUUAUGCUUUACCGCAUAUAUACUAAUUUGCUGUGCAAGAAAGCUUUUUAAACUAGAGGGACCGCUGUUAUCUUCUUAAACCAGAGGAAGGUUGCGGCAAUAACAGGUCUGUGAUGCCCUUAGAUGUUCCGGGCUGCACACGUGCUACAAUGAUUAUUGCAGUGAGCAUCUCAUUUAUUAUACACCGCAUGCGCGAGUCCAUUUAUUCAUUUUACCUUCGGGUUAUGCUUUAAAUGUGUAUCUCUGCGCGCGGUAAAGCCUGCUUCGAAAGUAAGUGGGUAAUCAAUUAGAAGUAAUGAUUUCCUUUUUUUUCUGCACACAUAUAUACGGCAGCUAUACCCGGGUAACCUUGUUGUUACUUUUGUGCGUAUAGUUGUACCCUUUUUCCGUAUGUGCGAUUGUCAAUUCAUGGUGGGGACAGACCAUUGUUAAUUGUUGGUCUCGGUCUUAACUAGGAAUGCCUUGUACGGGUCUUUGGUUCAACAAACCACCCGGAAUACGUCCCUGCCCUUUGUACACACCGCCCGUCGCUCUUACCGAUGGACUUCUCUGUGAGUUUGAGGGACUGGGAACGCAUUGCGUAUAUCUUAUGCGCUCUGCACACCUAUGGAAACUUAAACGAACAGUGUGGUCUAAAGGAAAGAGAAGUCGUAACAAGGCAUCAGUAGGUGAACCU